RNAcentral lists this ribosomal RNA (252 nucleotides) under uncultured bacterium. RNAcentral describes it as "partial 16S ribosomal RNA". It matches the Rfam family "Bacterial small subunit ribosomal RNA", at positions 524 to 776 of the family's 1533-position model. The record is from RNAcentral.
UACGUAGGGACCAAGCGUUGUUCGGAUUUACUGGGCGUAAAGGGCGCGUAGGCGGCAAUUCAAGUCAUCUGUGAAAUCUCCGGGCUUAACUCGGAACGGUCAGAUGAUACUGCUUGCUAGAGUGCGGAAGGGGCAAUCGGAAUUCUCGGUGUAGCGGUGAAAUGCGUAGAUAUCGAGAGGAACACCAGAGGUGAAGACGGGUUGCUGGGCCGACACUGACGCUGAGGCGCGAAAGCCAGGGGAGCAAACGGG